AACAUGUGAAUUAUUUGGCAGCUAACUAUCGUUGCUGUGCACCCGUCCAUCUGUUGCAUGAAAUACUCAUUGGAGACUAGUUACUUCGGCGGACGGGAGAUCAAUUGGGCGCAGCUCUGUGCCAAGGAACAUAUGCAGCAUGAGCGUCGACAGCAUAUCCUAAAGCGUUUGUUUGUGGAAGUGUCGCUUGCUUCUUAAAAUUAUAGGACUCUCGGCAAUGGAUAUCUUGGCUCUCGCAUCGAUGAAGAGCGCAGCGAAAUGCGAUACGUGGUGCGAAUUGCAGAAUCCCGUGAACCAUCGAGUUUUUGAACGCAAGUUGCGCCCGAGGCCAACUGGCUAAGGGCACGUCCGCCUGGGCGUCAAGCAUUACAUCGCUCCACUUGACAGCCAACAUCAAUGCAACGCGUUGGUGUUGUCUCGGAUGCGGAGAGUGGCCCGUCAUGCGUCGUCGUGUGGCGGGUUGAAGAGUGGGAUGAUUUUCUCUUGGCGAUGAUCGAUAAAUGGGUGGGAUGGAAGCCCCAGUUGAUCCCUCAUCAUCGUAUACUUUCGCCUUGAGAAAGCCGUACAAAUCUCGGGCUAACCCGACUCAAGUGUUGUUCGAAGACAAUUGAAAUGCGACCCCAGGAUGGGCGGGGUGACCCGCUGAGUUUAAGCAUAUCAAUAA
This 664-nucleotide ribosomal RNA is filed under the name Evotella rubiginosa. Its description in RNAcentral is "eukaryotic LSU rRNA". The stretch from base 207 to 362 matches the Rfam family "5.8S ribosomal RNA". Lineage: Eukaryota; Viridiplantae; Streptophyta; Magnoliopsida; Asparagales; Orchidaceae. The record is from RNAcentral.